Molecule: ribosomal RNA, 253 nt
Filed under: uncultured bacterium
Lineage: Bacteria
Description: partial 16S ribosomal RNA
Rfam family: Bacterial small subunit ribosomal RNA
Source: RNAcentral
UACGAAGGGGGCUAGCGUUGUUCGGGUUUACUGGGCGUAAAGCGCGCGUAGGCGGGUCGGUAAGUCGGGGGUGAAAGCCCGGGGCUCAACCCUGGAACUGCCCUUGAUACUGGCGACCUUGAGUGCGGAAGAGGUGAGUGGAAUUCCUAGUGUAGAGGUGAAAUUCGUAGAUAUUCGGAGGAACACCAGUGGCGAAGGCGGCUCACUGGUCCGGUACUGACGCUGAGGUGCGAAAGCGUGGGGAGCAAACAGG